GACGAACGCUGGCGGCGUGCUUAACACAUGCAAUUCGAACGGAAAGGCCCUGCUUUUGUGGGGUGCUCGAGUGGCGAACGGGUGAGUAACACGUGAGUAACCUGCCCUUGACUUUGGGAUAACUUCAGGAAACUGGGGCUAAUACCGGAUAGGAGCUCCUGCUGCAUGGUGGGGGUUGGAAAGUUUCGGCGGUUGGGGAUGGACUCGCGGCUUAUCAGCUUGUUGGUGGGGUAGUGGCUUACCAAGGCUUUGACGGGUAGCCGGCCUGAGAGGGUGACCGGCCACAUUGGGACUGAGAUACGGCCCAGACUCCUACGGGAGGCAGCAGUGGGGAAUAUUGCACAAUGGGCGGAAGCCUGAUGCAGCAACGCCGCGUGCGGGAUGACGGCCUUCGGGUUGUAAACCGCUUUCGCCUGUGACGAAGCGUGAGUGACGGUAAUGGGUAAAGAAGCACCGGCUAACUACGUGCCAGCAGCCGCGGUGAUACGUAGGGUGCGAGCGUUGUCCGGAUUUAUUGGGCGUAAAGGGCUCGUAGGUGGUUGAUCGCGUCGGAAGUGUAAUCUUGGGGCUUAACCCUGAGCGCGCUUUCGAUACGGGUUGACUUGAGGAAGGUAGGGGAGAAUGGAAUUCCUGGUGGAGCGGUGGAAUGCGCAGAUAUCAGGAGGAACACCAGUGGCGAAGGCGGUUCUCUGGGCCUUUCCUGACGCUGAGGAGCGAAAGCGUGGGGAGCGAACAGGCUUAGAUACCCUGGUAGUCCACGCUGUAAACGGUGGGUACUAGGUGUGGGGUCCAUUCCACGGGUUCCGUGCCGUAGCUAACGCUUUAAGUACCCCGCCUGGGGAGUACGGCCGCAAGGCUAAAACUCAAAGGAAAUGACGGGGCCCCGCACAAGCGGCGGAGCAUGCGGAUUAAUUCGAUGCAACGCGUAGAACCUUACCUGGGUUUGACAUGGAUCGGGAGUGCUCAGAGAUGGGUGUGCCUCUUUUGGGGUCGGUUCACAGGUGGUGCAUGCCUGUCGUCAGCUCGUGUCGUGAGAUGUUGGGUUAAGUCCCGCAACGAGCGCAACCCUUGUUCACUGUUGCCAGCACGUUAUGGUGGGGACUCAGUGGAGACCGCCGGGGUCAACUCGGAGGAAGGUGGGGAUGACGUCAAGUCCUCAUGCCCCUUAUGUCCAGGGCUUCACGCAUGCUACAAUGGCUGGUACAGAGAGUGGCGAGCCUGUGAGGGUGAGCGAAUCUCGGAAAGCCGGUCUCAGUUCGGAUUGGGGUCUGCAACUCGACCUCAUGAAGUCGGAGUCGCUAGUAAUCGCAGAUCAGCAACGCUGCGGUGAAUACGUUCCCGGG
Molecule: ribosomal RNA, 1343 nt
Filed under: uncultured bacterium
Lineage: Bacteria
Description: 16S ribosomal RNA
Rfam family: Bacterial small subunit ribosomal RNA
Source: RNAcentral